Molecule: ribosomal RNA, 492 nt
Filed under: uncultured bacterium
Lineage: Bacteria
Description: partial 16S ribosomal RNA
Rfam family: Bacterial small subunit ribosomal RNA
Source: RNAcentral
AGUGAACGCUGGCGGUAGGCCUAACACAUGCAAGUCGAACGGCAGCACAGUAAGAGCUUGCUCUUACGGGUGGCGAGUGGCGGACGGGUGAGGAAUACAUCGGAAUCUACUUUUUCGUGGGGGAUAACGUAGGGAAACUUACGCUAAUACCGCAUACGACCUACGGGUGAAAGCAGGGGAUCUUCGGACCUUGCGCGAUUGAAUGAGCCGAUGUCGGAUUAGCUAGUUGGCGGGGUAAAGGCCCACCAAGGCGACGAUCCGUAGCUGGUCGGAGAGGAUGAUCGGCCACACUGGAACGGAGCCACGGUCCAGACUCCUACGGGAGGCAGCAGUGGGGAAUAUUGGACAAUGGGCGCAAGCCUGAUCCAGCCAUACCGCGUGGGUGAAGAAGGCCUUCGGGUUGUAAAGCCCUUUUGUUGGGAAAGAAAAGCAGCAGGUUAAUACCCCGCUGUUCUGACGGUACCCAAAGAAUAAGCACCGGCUAACUUCGUG